UACAAAAAGGAAAAUUACAGAGAAAAACAAACCCUAUUUCAUUUCCCCCCUCACAAAUCAACCAAAAACCAAAAGCAUCUCUUCCUUCCUCACACAAUCCAUGGUGCCUUGCGUCUGAUCGUUGCUUUGCUCACACCGACCACCGAGGUUUCUUCUUCUUCUUCUUCUUCCACCCGCGCGCUUCAUUUUUGUCAGGCUCAAUGGCUACUGUGGAGGCUGCUCGCCAGCUUUUGUAUGGGGGAAGCGGUCGCCUCGGCUGUUUCGAUGCAUUUCUCAGCAAUGUGAAUGGGGGAAUGUCUGUUAAGUGUGGUGUGAAUAAUGGAGGGAAGAGGAGUUCGGUGCGCGCUCAGGUGUGUAAAAGUUCAAGAGGUUUAGGGGAUCGCAGGGGUGUUGGUGUCUUUCAGGGGGAUGCGGGUGGUGGUUCUCGUAGAUUGGAUUCUAUGAGGUAUAAUUGUCAACGGAUGGAAAGUCCUGCGGAGGAUCAGCGUAGGACUUUGUUUGUGGAUGAAUCGGAGAAGGUGAAAUCAGGUCAUUCUAAUGGUAUACUCGGUUCAGAUGCGAAUCAAUUCAAAGUGGAUCAGCCACUGGACAAUGGAAAUGGGGGUUUUGGGUCAAAUGGUAAGCCGGCUGCAGCAGCAGUGCAUGAAGAUGCUGUGCAGAAGAUUAUGAGCAAUUCACUUGAGGAUGAAGCUUGGACUUUGCUAAGAAACUCCAUGGUCUAUUAUUGUAAUAAUCCUAUUGGAACCAUUGCUGCUAAUGAUCCAAGCUCCCCCAGUACUCUGAACUAUGAUCAGGUCUUCAUUCGGGAUUUUAUACCAUCCGGGAUAGCCUUCCUUUUAAAAGGGGAGUAUGAUAUCGUGCGGAACUUUAUUCUUCAUACCCUUCAGUUGCAGAGCUGGGAGAAAACCAUGGAUUGUUAUAGUCCUGGUCAAGGAUUGAUGCCUGCCAGUUUCAAGGUUCGAACUGUUCCACUCGAAGGUGAUGACUAUGCAACUGAAGAUGUGUUAGAUCCUGACUUUGGUGAAGCUGCUAUUGGUCGUGUUGCCCCUGUUGACUCUGGGUUAUGGUGGAUUAUCCUGUUAAGAGCUUAUGGAAAAUGCUCUGGAGAUCUUUCAGUGCAAGAGAGAGUUGAUGUACAAACUGGGAUAAAAAUGAUUUUAAAGCUCUGUCUAGCAGAUGGAUUUGAUAUGUUUCCAACACUACUGGUCACAGAUGGUUCUUGCAUGAUAGAUCGCCGGAUGGGAAUUCAUGGUCAUCCUUUGGAGAUUCAGGCACUGUUCUAUUCCGCAUUACUUGGAGCACGUGAAAUGCUUGCUCCAGAGGAUGCAUCAGCUGACCUCAUGCAAGCUCUGAAAAAUCGUCUAGUUGCAUUAUCCUUUCAUAUCAGAGAAUAUUAUUGGAUUGACAUGAGAAGGCUCAAUGAAAUUUACCGAUACAAGACAGAGGAAUACUCAUAUGAUGCUGUUAAUAAGUUCAAUAUCUACCCAGAUCAGAUUCCAUCCUGGCUUGUGGACUUUAUGCCCAGUCAAGGUGGCUAUUUGAUUGGAAACCUGCAGCCCGCUCACAUGGACUUCCGUUUCUUUUCUCUUGGAAACUUGUGGUCUAUCGUAAGCAGUCUUGCAACAUUGGAGCAGUCACAUGCUAUACUGGAUCUUAUUGAUGCAAAAUGGGAGGAAUUGGUGGCAGAUAUGCCCUUUAAAAUAUGCUAUCCUGCGCUAGAAGGCCGGGAAUGGCAAAUCAUCACAGGCAGUGAUCCCAAAAACACUCCCUGGUCUUACCACAAUGGAGGUUCUUGGCCAACAUUACUUUGGCAGCUCACUGUGGCUUGCAUAAAGCUUGACAGACCAGAAAUUGCAUCAAAAGCUAUCAAGCUGGCUGAGAAACGCAUAUCUAAAGAUAAGUGGCCGGAAUACUAUGACACCAAGCGAGCAAGAUUUAUUGGAAAACAAGCCCAGCUGUAUCAAACAUGGUCGAUUGCUGGGUACCUUGUAGCAAAGCUUCUUCUCGAUAACCCAAGUGCAGCAAAGAACAUUCUGAAUGAAGAAGAUUCGGACCUUGUAAAUGCAUUUUCUUGCAUGAUAAGCGCCAACCCAAGAAGGAAGCGUAGUUGGAAGAAACAGAUUUUAGUAUGAAGGUACAGAAAGAAUAUGGAAACACUAGUUAAAUUGAUUAACGAAGCCACUGAGAAUUGAAGCAUGGGACAGAAUUCUAAAUUUGUUCUACUGCAGCUGGCGAAGUUUAUUUCAAUUCUCACCAGUAAGUUGAAGCUCAGUGGCUUCACUUUGCGAAGUGGAUUGUAUAUAUAGCCCUUCGUGCUUUUUUUUGGGGUCAUGUUACAGUACAGUAAACCGGUAUUAGACAAUUCUAUACGUGACCAGUGGAGAAAUGUUGCUUGUCAUUUUUUUACUCCAUUCUUCAUCCUAUUCUUAUGUUUAAGGACCUAACCGCUAGAUUGACAACUAUGGCACUAACGUCACUUCGACUUCCACGGCCCACGGCGAGGCGGCAGAGUAUUGCAGCUGCACUGUUGGUUCUGGAAGAGAAAAACAUGUCUGUCUCGCCGUCGCUGGUGUUUGGAUCAUAA
This is an RNA transcript of Argentina anserina (silverweed cinquefoil), 2584 nucleotides long. It is a transcript of the gene named alkaline/neutral invertase E, chloroplastic-like, with no coding region annotated. The record is from RefSeq and is a predicted model, not a curated record. The transcript is spliced from 8 exons. Lineage: Eukaryota; Viridiplantae; Streptophyta; Magnoliopsida; Rosales; Rosaceae.